GCUAAUUUUGGAACAUUUAUAUGUAUUUGUUUUACAGUUUGUAAAUUUUUACUUAAAAAUGAUUUCAGACACGUAAGGCGAUCGGGCAAGCUGAUUAUAUGUAAUUAGACCUCCUAAUUAUGUGACAACAGUUUCUAAAUGUUCCACCUAACUAGAGACCGAGUGUGGCUGAAAGCUGGCUCUUCAUUUUAUUAGAGCCACAAUACAACAUUCAGCGCCUCUGCACCCUACUUGCCAAAUAAAAACUCUAUUCUACUACUCUACUCUAGACUUGGUGAUAUUACGCUAAGCCACGCUACGUCGCUACACACACAUCGGUACAGUGAAGUCAAGAGGAGGAGAAUUUAAUAUUGAUGUUAAAAUAAUAUAUAGAAAUAAUGUAUAAUUUUUAGAAAAAUCCAAAUCAAAUCAACUCACAUUCCAGUUUUCUUACGGCAGCAAAAAUGUAGCCAAAGAGGCUACUUUCUAUAAUAAACUAUUUAUAUAUUUAAUCCUGGUCAUUCUGGUACCAAAAAUGUACC
Long non-coding RNA from Cydia strobilella, 521 nucleotides. RefSeq lists it as uncharacterized. The record is from RefSeq and is a predicted model, not a curated record. NCBI's taxonomy places the organism in Eukaryota, Metazoa, Arthropoda, Insecta, Lepidoptera, Tortricidae. The transcript is spliced from 4 exons.